Molecule: ribosomal RNA, 293 nt
Filed under: uncultured bacterium
Lineage: Bacteria
Description: partial 16S ribosomal RNA
Rfam family: Bacterial small subunit ribosomal RNA
Source: RNAcentral
GGAUUAGAUACCCUGGUAGUCCACGCCGUAAACGAUGAGAACUAGUCGUCGGGAGGGUUUGCCACUCGGUGACGCAGCUAACGCAUUAAGUUCUCCGCCUGGGGAGUACGCCGGCAACGGUAAAACUCAAAGUAAUUGACGGGGGCCCGCACAAGCGGUGGAGCAUGUGGUUUAAUUCGAUGCAACGCGAAGAACCUUACCUGGCCUUGACAUCCUCGGAACUUAGCAGAGAUGCUUUGGUGCCUUCGGGAACCGAGUGACAGGUGCUGCAUGGCUGUCGUCAGCUCGUGCCG